Molecule: ribosomal RNA, 405 nt
Filed under: uncultured bacterium
Lineage: Bacteria
Description: bacterial SSU rRNA
Rfam family: Bacterial small subunit ribosomal RNA
Source: RNAcentral
AACGAACGCUGGCGGCGUGCCUAACACAUGCAAGUCGAGCGGGAAAGUUCCCUUCGGGGAGCGAGUACAGCGGCGAACGGGUGAGUAACACGUAGGUAACCUACCCUGGAGAUCGGGAUAACCUGCCGAAAGGCGGGCUAAUACCGGAUAAGACCACGAGGGCUGCGGCCCUUGAGGAAAAAGAUGGCCUCUGCUUGCAAGCUAUCACUCUGGGGAUGGGCCUGCGCGCCAUUAGCAGUUGGUGAGGUAACGGCUCACCAAGGCUGAGAUGGCUAGCUGGUCUGAGAGGAUGGCCAGCCACACUGGGACUGAGACACGGCCCAGACUCCUACGGGAGGCAGCAGUGGGGAAUAUUGCGCAAUGGGCGAAAGCCUGACGCAGCGACGCCGCGUGGUGAUGAAGCCU